UACGUAGGUGGCAAGCGUUGUCCGGAUUUACUGGGCGUAAAGAGCGCGCAGGCGGUCGUUCAAGUCGCGUGUGAAAGCCCCCGGCUCAACUGGGGAGGGUCACGCGAUACUGAUCGACUGGAAGGCAGGAGAGGGUAGUGGAAUUCCCGGUGUAGUGGUGAAAUGCGUAGAUAUCGGGAGGAACACCAGUGGCGAAGGCGACUACCUGGCCUGUUCUUGACCCUGAGGCGCGAAAGCUAGGGGAGCAAACGGG
RNAcentral lists this ribosomal RNA (253 nucleotides) under uncultured bacterium. Its description in RNAcentral is "partial 16S ribosomal RNA". It matches the Rfam family "Bacterial small subunit ribosomal RNA", at positions 524 to 776 of the family's 1533-position model. The record is from RNAcentral.